UGUCACUCUGACUGGCAGAACGUCUGAGUCGCUCUGUCCUGUGCUUGUUUGCAGGUGCGACUGGAAGUGAAGGUCAUCCAGCUUCCCCUGCGAGUUCCAGGAGUGAAACUCCGGCAGACCACGCGGGUCCGGAAAGACGAAAGUUUACACCUAGAGGAGGGUAUUACGCCUGGUGGUCAUCCGGUGUCCCAAGGAAACCCACGAGAAAAAUGGGGAAGGCAGUGCCUGGCGGGACUAAAGGCACUGAGCAAGAGACUGUGCAGAAGGAGCUGUUGCAGGAAGGCAGCAGUGACGCGCAGCCAGUCUCUGACCGGAAAACUCAGGCAGAACAAGCAGCUGGUUUGCCAGGGGUGGAUCUUGGGAAAAUCACAAAGGCUGCUGUUGGCAAGGAGCUGCAGAAACGCCACAUCCCAGUGGUUGCUGUGGUCUCAGCCGCGCUGCUGUCCGUGCUGACGCUGGCCUGUGUUCCUAUGCUAUGGAUGUGGAAAAAAUAUCUGUGAGUUGACUUUUCCCCAGGACACUGUAUCGCUGCAUUUGGCUACAAAGCACUUGUGGUGACAGGAUCCCGAUGGCCAAAUCAGCUGCUGGCAGUACACUGCCAGGAUUUACGUUGCAAGGCCUUCCAAGCGUCCC
Non-coding RNA from Meleagris gallopavo (turkey), 633 nucleotides. Lineage: Eukaryota; Metazoa; Chordata; Aves; Galliformes; Phasianidae. The record is from RefSeq and is a predicted model, not a curated record.